Tyto alba (common barn owl) is the source of this 6941-nucleotide RNA transcript. It is a transcript of the gene named Sjoegren syndrome nuclear autoantigen 1 homolog, with no coding region annotated. The transcript is spliced from 4 exons. The record is from RefSeq and is a predicted model, not a curated record. Lineage: Eukaryota; Metazoa; Chordata; Aves; Strigiformes; Tytonidae.
CAGCCGUUGGCUCGGGGGAGCCCGCGCCGCCCGGGGGGGCCGCUUCGCUUCGCUUCCCCGCCGGGCCGCGGCGGGGCCGCCGGCUUUCUCGGUGGGAGCCAACAGGGCGGGAACGCCAGGCAGAGUGCAGAAGGCUGUUGCUGAGAGGGGACUUCAGGGAGCAGUGGCAGAGCUGAGGGAGGGGAGCAGAGGAUGACUCAGCAGGGAGCUGUUCUUCAGGGUUACAAUAAUGAACUAGUGAAAUGCAUUGAAGAUUUGUGUAUGCAAAAAGAAGAGUUGAACAAACAAAUCCAACAAGCAGAAGAGGAAAAAAGUAAACUCCAGCAUGAAAUCCAAACCCUGAGUGAACAACUGAAUUGUGUAUGUGAAAACCUGGCCCAAAAGGUAGCUUCACGGAAUGAGCUUGAUAAAAUUCUUGCUGAAACUGAAGCUGCUUACAUGAAGAUUUUGGAUAGUUCUAGAACUUUACUUAAUGUCCUGAAGAAGGAAGUGGGAAGCAUAAAGCAUACGCAAGAACUGAAAACCAAUGUAACGUAAAACGGUCAAAUGUUUGGACUCCACAGUGCUAAAAUUCUACUAGAGAUGCUUACCCUUCAGUUCCAGUACCUCUCCACAUGCAGUUUCUAUUGAUCACCUUACAGGAAUGGAGAGGCAGACACAGCUUCCUGCAGUGGCCAGCCUAAGUCAAGAAGAUGGAAGUGUUAGGUAGAGACUAUAAAACAAAGUAAGAGCCUGAACAAUUGUUAACACUUAAAUUUAAACAUUUUUCAAAGUAUGAUAUCAAAUAGACUGGUCACGAAGCAUUUUAAAGUUAAAUCUUCGUAGGUUUUAUGUUUUUGAGCUUCACAUGCAUAGGUUCUUAUGCUCCAGUGAGAGCUCUUGUAAUGAGCUUGAGGUUUUCCACUGAUAUAUGGUAUAUGGGAACACUUUUAAAAAAAUAUUUCCGUAGUAGUCCAUGAUAGAUCCGUAACUUCUUUUUAAACCAAUUUAUAUAGUUGAUUUAGUUGAAUAUAGUAAAAAAAAUGUAGCAAAUUUAUUCCCUAAAUGUUUUCAGAUAAUCCUAGUUGUAUUCGGAAUUAGAUCAAAUUAUUAUUUUUAGUAUGCUCAUUUUGUUGUUAUAUGGUUAUUAACAAGUUGAAACAACUUAGAGACCCAUUCUGAGUGGGCGUGUAUCUCAGUUCCACAUACCAAAUCCCUUUCAUGUUCUGCAAGCUUCGGGUUUUUUUAAAGCUUCUCUUUCCUGAUACAUUAAGAACACUUUGAGUUGAAAGUCAGCAUGACAGUUAAGACUCCCAUGAUGCAAUUUAAAAAAUGUAGUUGGUAUUCAGGGAUGAAUCAUAUUGUCAGGUGUUUAAAACCAGAAAAAACUACUGGUAAUUCUUCAUAUGCUUAUGCAGUUGUUCAGUAACAGAAAUCCUGCUGGAGAUUUGUGCUGCUUACUGUCCAAUAGUAAAUGAGAUUACUUGCUGCAAUUGAUGAAUCCAGGGUACUUAUCUUUAAAUGCUGGUCCUUCCUCAGGAAUUGUUGCUAGCAUAAAGGGAAUGGAGAUUUUAUCCCUGAGGGUAUGGGGCAAAAGGGGGGUUGCCUUUUCAGUAGAGACAACACAUCUGUGGAAAUAGAGGAGCAUCUUUAUUAACUUGGCUCAUGGUAAAAUGUUGUGAGACAAUUCCAACCAUGUGGUUAUAAUGGUCAUACUUUACUGAUGCAAGCUGCACUGAAGCAAGCUGACAAGAAAAAAAAACAAACAACAACAACAAAAAAAAACCACUGUCCAUGCAGUCAAUCACAAGGAAUGUGAUACCUGAUUGCAGUCAUGGUAUCUUUAAAUGCAGGAGCUCAGGCACAGCUGGAAGCAGGGUAGCUGCUGCAGUACUGGGCUCAGCAAGGGUUAAUUUGCUCAGCCAAAAGUCAGUUGACCAUGUGGACAUGUGAAUUCCUGUGUACUCAGGAGUCACUGGAUUCACUAGAAAAAUGUAACCUGUUUUAUUCUUGAAACUCAGGGAAUUGUAACUGUCAUUAAGUGACAUGAAACAUUAGAUAUGACUUUGAGAAAGAUAUUUAUUUAAAAUCCUGUUCCCUUUAGGGGCUUUUCUCUGAAGCUUAAAGUGUUCUUGCUUUAGAUUCAAGUUGUUCAAAAACCUGUGGCCAAAGGGAAAAAUACAGAUGCCCAAUUUCCCCUGAAGCCCACACGCCUGUAAGUGGUUUGUAUUCACUGUGUAGUACACAAAGUUCCUGGUCAAAUGCUGUCUAAUCCUUCAAUCAAAUUGCAAGUUUUGUGGCUCCCCUUAGUAGUUUAAAUGAUUUGCAGUGAGUGUUGCUUCUUCAAUUUGGAAUGUACUUCGGGUUUUUGUUUAUUUUUCUUUAAUGAAGUAUUCCACUGAGGCCUCCCAUGGCAUUCUGCCACACACGUUCAUAUUGUUCGUGUGAGUAUAUGGGUUUUCUCAGGGAAUGUCAGAAAAAAACUACAUGUACAUCAGCAAUUCAACUGAAACAAGAUUUGAUUUUAUGUCAUGCUGAUUUUAUUUUAAAAAGUGCUUUAAAAUGCCAAGUAUAUACAUACCUGUAUUUAUAUAGGAUAUAUAAACAAGUGUUUCCAAUCAAUAGAUAACCAAGUACCUUACAGAGAAUGUCAAUAUCUUUAUUCCCCUUGAUAGACAGUGACACUUGGUAGUAAUUUGCCCCAAGUCAGGGACAGAUCUGGGAAUGGGAAUCUGGGAAUUUGCUUUUUCAGCCUCAACUGAAUGCUCUGACUUGGGCUGCUUCUCAGGGUUUCAUGUCCUGUUUGGCUUUUGACAUAAACCAACUGGAUUCUGCAUUCUUAACCUGUGUGUUGGGAGAAGGGAUAGAUAUAACUGACUGGAUACGUACUUUUUUUGCUAUUACUACUUCACAUCACAUACAGUGAAGAUGUUUAAAGGUAUUACUCAUUUCUCCAUGGAUAGCCCCUCAUGACAAAAGUAUCCCAGCUCCAGAGCAUCUACUCUCGCUUUCCAGACCUGCUCUCUCCCAGCCCCUACUCACAGGUGUUUGGGAGCUGACUGUAGGACAGAGGAACAGAAAGAACUUUUAAUGAUAGUUGCUAAUUAAUUACCUUUCACAAGCCUAACCUUCUUCAGCUUCAGAUAGCUUGUCUUUACAGGCCAUGCUGUUUGGUCUCAUUUUCAUUAGGCUUCUUAACUACCUUAUGCUAGUCUAUGUAACACCACCAGGUAUCUGUACCAACUCGCUUGAAGGGUUUUCUAGACAUCGAGACUCCUUGGUGUUUAAAUACAAUGGAGGAUCUGAAUUCUAGUCCAUCUAUAACGGCAUAUAGACCACAUAACAGCAUUCUGACCACAUAUGACAAUAACAGUCUGUGUGGCAACUAUAUUCCACCACAGCUCAUUUUGGGUUACUAGAAUUGAAGUGGCAUGGCGAAUCAGGAACUGUAGAGGUAUGGAUGAACAGAGCUUUUCUAGAGGGAAAAGAAGCUGGCUUUAUGAGUCCAGAUUAAAAACUACAUUAAUCAAGGACAGAUGACACCUGACAGCAGUAUUCUUUUAUUUUAUGUAUCACAAUAAAUAUAUAUAUAUACACACACACAUUCUUUAAAAACAUACAAAUAUACUGAGCAUUUUAAUAAGUAUAUAAUGUUCUUGAUAGAAACCCGUCUAAUAUUUCAGUACUGUCUGCCAUUAGAAAGAACAAUUUAAAUAGGGUGGUCAUUAACAACUUCCAUUAGGUUGUGUACCCUCUGCUUUCAAUAGCCACCCCGGUCUUGCUACUAUAUAAACCCUCAUUUGUAGCCCAAUCCUCCUCUUCCUGCUGCAACAGCUUUUAUUGCCCCUGUUUCCUAGCCCCUUGCUUACUGUGUUUUUAGUUAUCCCAAGCUUCUGACCAGAAACACACUGCUCUUCUGCCAUGUGAUGUGUCAGAGAUACUUUCAGUCUCUUCAUAUUGUCCAGAUCUGUUCUGGCACACUUGGAAAAAUUGUUUGCAAAGAUAAACAGAUUUCAUUCAGUUUGCUAGUGACACAGAAGUAAUGGUAGGACAGGGUAAGAAUAUUACAUGGUGGAGAAAAAACAAUCACCUGAUCCAAGAGGAGUUUCAUCCUAUGAAAAACCCAUCCUGAGAAGACUUUCAGGUUGAAGAGAUGGAUGGAUGGAAUGUGACAUUCUUGAUACACUGUGGAGAUGAAAGAACAGAAGUUUAUUAUGUUUGUCAAUUAAAAUAUCAUUGUCCCAGUAAAUGCAGACUGUUUAUAGUCUUCUGCAAAUACAGAAGGUCUAUAUGGGAUGCUGUAAUUUAGGAUGUUGUAAUUUAAUUAGUAUUAAGGCUAUGCACAGAGUGACUCAAGUUUGUUCCAGAAAUGAUUGCAGUGUGUUUGAGAAAAGACUAUAACUUGAUAUUAAAAAGAGGGAAAAGAAAUACAGUGUUGGACCUUGCAGAUCAAUGGUCUUACUGAGGAAGCCUUCGUAGGUCAGCUAUGUAGUUCCUCAAAGCUCUGAACAUGACUUAUAUUGCAAAAUAGUAAACACAUGCUAAGAUAGAGUGGAGUACACUCAAAAUCAGGUGACUUGUAAAAAGUUAUGUCAAGACAUCAUAUGUCUUCAGCAGUUUUCUUUGUAAUUAAUUGUUACAAAUUAAUAUAUUCCCCAGUAAGGUGCACUAGAAAUAAACGUUCCAGAUGCCUUCAUCUGCAGAGAAGAAGGAAAGGCAAUUAAAUGUCUGCAUACUGUGAAAUCUCUGGGUACCAAUAGUGUUUGCACAGACUUUCAUAACAUUUUAAGGAACAAUUGGUUUUCCUGCUGUCUGGGCUGACUGAAUGCAAGCAGUUUUUGAAAGAGGACAGUAGCUCAGUUAUUUUCACACUGGCUAAAAUCCUGCUGAUUUGCAUAAAAGUUUCUAUUUUUAUUUACUGAUAGCAAAGUUUUGGUGACAAACUGGCUCCUCCAGACCAGACAAAUUCUAUUUUAUUUUAUUAGCAUGCAUCAUUUCAUCUCUGACAAAGAAAGGGCAGACUUCUGAUGAUGUAGUGAAAGAACCUGGGGCAGAGGAGUGUCUGGCCUCUAUCAAAGAGUAGGAAAAACACAAAAGGUCAAAACUGCUGGCCUUGGUCUGAAUUGAGCAGGGUUGCUUGCUUGCAAAAGUAUCAAGUGAGAGGGCUUUUUUUUCCUUUUUUUUUUUUUUCCUUUUUUUUUUAUUCACUCCCUCCUACAUCAUUACUGGGCUGAGUAGAAAAAUAAUUUUAUUUCUCUUUAAAGGUAUGAAUAAUAAUAAAUGUGUUAAUUUGCUCCAAGAAAAGCCAGUUCCACAUAGGAGCUCAAGCUGCCCCAUGGGAGCUCUAUUUUUUUCCUUCAGAGAAAAAUUGUCGUCAUGCAAACUCUAAAAUCCAGCAGCCAUUGAAGGUGAAGGAGAAACAACAAAAUGCUGUGUUUGCUUGUCACUGCGGACCAAUUAUUCUUCCAGUAGCUGCGCUCCUAUGUGUAGUUUCUUAGUUGCACAUACUGCCUGUCCCAAAACAUGGAGUUUUGUUCUCAGACCUGUUUAGUUUAAAAUACAUUCUUUUAUUUUAGAUGACCUUAAUAAAGCAGUGCAUACUGGUGCAUAUAUAGGUAUGAAAUUUGUCUAUAACUGUUAGUUAGAAGUCCUUUUCAUUGGCUAAGUAUACCAUGUAUUAUUACACUGAUAUAGCUAGAAUGAAGCUUGGUUCUCAGACAUUAAGAUGACCCUUUUAAUUUUGAUUCUGCCAAUAGGUAUUUUAUAGUUUCAGGAGUUGGUGAAGUCAGCAGCCACCAAACACAGUAAAGUGUAACUUGACUUCUGUGGACUAAAGUUAAAAUUUCCUGUAUUGCCUUGCAUGAAGAUUUUUGUUUUAAGUAACUUCUGCAUUUGGUUGGUUGAUGGGAAACCACAGCCAAAUGUUUUAAAGAGGUAUCAAAACCAAUUUGUUUUGGUUAACAGUACAUUUCCUGGAUAAUCUCAUCCAGGAGAGAUUUUAAGUGCAGUACAUGUUCAGAGCCAGGACCCUCAGAGCACAGCCCAGCCUCCAUUUCCAAGCCUGUCAUUCCCAUCGCACAUGAACGAGCCAGACUGUUUUGCAAGGUCCAUGGGACAAGGGACCAUCUUCUAGGUGCUGGUAGAGAACAGAUGAUUAAAUAAAUUAAGGCAGUGCAUGCCAUACAAAAACAUCCCAGGCAGGCUCACACCAAGGCAUUCAGAAGGACUUAGGAGUCUCUUCUAUGUUUCUACUCUGCAUGAAGUGUAAAUAUAUGUGUGUAUGCGUAUACUGCUCAAGCUACUUGAUGCUACAUCAGCUAUAUUGAGAUUCUGUUACGUUGGAAAGUUAUGACUUAAUGAGAUUAUUUUAACAAGAAAUUAACAUGAGCAAAGCCCCUAAAACCAACCAAAGUAGUUGUGCGUGUUGCUGGAUUUCAAAGUGUUGACUUUCCACAUCUGUAACUUCUGAUUCUAGUGCCGAGUCCUGUAUGGUAGCAAAGAAGGUAACACAUUUUAAAGUUCUGGAAUGAGUUUUGAGGUAAUACUAAGAAUUUAGUAAGUGUCCAUGAGGAUGUUAUACCACAAGGCUUACUGAAAGUUAGUGUGUCUUGUGCUCUGCUUGCUAAUGCUCUGGACUUUUAGGAUUCAGGAUUCUUGGUACGUUUCUCAAAGGCCUGGCUCCUGAAAUCAAGGCGUUUUCUUUGUUCUUCCCUCUCCCUGAUGAGUUUAAAGUUCUAUUUCUGUUCCUUGUAAAAAAUGUUGAAAACACAAAAGCAUGAAAGGCCCAGAAAUGCAAAUACAAAUAAUUCUAGAUCUUUUUUAUGACAGUCUCACACUUUGUGCUUGGCCUGAUAUAAAUCUUUGUGAAUGCUAGAAGCUGGUCAUGGUCAAAGUCUUACUGAAAAAUUCCCCCCAUGUUAUACUUCAAUCAAAUAAAAUGCAAUUGUGAUAGCUUUAAGAAA